Molecule: long non-coding RNA, 1275 nt
Organism: Panonychus citri (citrus red mite)
Lineage: Eukaryota; Metazoa; Arthropoda; Arachnida; Trombidiformes; Tetranychidae
Exons: 2
Source: RefSeq, a predicted model, not a curated record
AUUUGUCAUUGUAAUUGAUUGAAUUUUAUUGAUCUUUCAUGAAGAUAAUCAAGAAAAUAUUGAAUAUGUGACAUUCCCUGCAAUUAGUUGGACUAAGUAAAUGAUCUGAUUGAUUAAUUGGUGAUAACGAAUUCGCUGAUAAUUUAAUCAUUUGAUUGUCAGAAUAUUUUGGAAACAAUUGUAGGUGUUAAUUGUGAAAAGGAAAUUAUUGAUUAGGUUAAUGUUAUUUGCGUGAUUGUGAUUAAGUUAAGACAAGGAAAAUACUGUCAAUUAAAUUGAAUAUAAUCAGAUAUUAAUAGUUACACUUAUUGCAGAUUAAACUGACCACUGGUCAUUAAAACUUAUGCGCCAUUUAAGGUUGAUCAUAAUUUCUUGAUUCAAUCUAAUUGCUUGGACCAUUUAGUAAGUUUUAAUUUGUAUGUAAAUCUGAUUGUUAAUUUUCACUUUUCCUUUUAAUUUCGUUCGUUUAAAUUUGAUUGUUCAAUCGAUUAGAUUGUUUGUUUUUGUGGUUUGAAAUAAACAGAAACCUUGAUUGUUUUAAUCAUGAGAAAUGAAACAAUAUGUUUAGUCGUCUUAAUGGUUAAUCAACUAUUUCUAAUUGUGAUGGUUGAAUCAAGAGGAAUAUUCCCCCAAUCUAAUUGUGUUUUCAAUUCUAAUGGUAAAUUAUGUGAAUCAAUCACAGAUGAGCUCAGUAAAGUAGAAAAUGAGAUAAUCAAUGAAGAAAAUAAUAUUUAUCAUGAUGAUGACCAAGAUGAUUCGUUAAUCAAUGAAUUUGAUGAUAAAAUUGAUUAUCAAUCAGUUCCAACGAUUGAAUCAACUCGAAAUUGAGAAAGAUGAAAAAUCUAAAUCAAGUGAAACCAAAUUGGAUCCAUUGAUACCAUUGUUGACCCAAAUUGCUGCUAAACGAAAACAAAUCAACAAAAAUCGUAAAGAUGAUCAAAAACAAACCCCCAAUUUAAAUUUCCAAACCCAAGGAUGGCGUUAAUUACACAAUCAACAAUUACAAUGGUCAAUUAAGACAUAACCCACUGUAACAAUUGAUUAUCAUCAGAUGAUCAAACAAAAAUUGACUAACAAUUAGUAUUAAUAUAAUGAUACUGACCAAAUAAACAAAAUUGUCUCCCUCAAACCUUUCAAUUUGAUUUAAACAAUUGUGAACCUUUAAAAUGGGAAGAAAAAUAUAAUUAAACUUCCAACAAUUAAUUUCCAUUGAUCAUCAACCCAAUCAAAAUUUUGCUAAAUUAAAGAAAAAUUCUGUAUUGUUUGUACUUGGAA